UACGGGGGGGGCAAGCGUUGUUCGGAAUUACUGGGCGUAAAGGGCUCGUAGGCGGCCAACUAAGUCAGACGUGAAAUCCCUCGGCUUAACCGGGGAACUGCGUCUGAUACUGGAUGGCUUGAGAUUGGGAGAGGGAUGCGGAAUUCCAGGUGUAGCGGUGAAAUGCGUAGAUAUCUGGAGGAACACCGGUGGCGAAGGCGGCAUCCUGGACCAACACUGACGCUGAGUGAGCGAAAGCCAGGGGAGCAAGCGGG
RNAcentral lists this ribosomal RNA (254 nucleotides) under uncultured bacterium. Its description in RNAcentral is "partial 16S ribosomal RNA". It matches the Rfam family "Bacterial small subunit ribosomal RNA", at positions 524 to 776 of the family's 1533-position model. The record is from RNAcentral.